GAAAUGCGAUAAGUAAUGUGAAUUGCAGAAUUCAGUGAAUCAUCGAAUCUUUGAACGCACAUUGCGCCCGCCAGUAUUCUGGCGGGCAUGCCUGUUCGAGCGUCAUUUCAACCAUCAAGCCCCCCGGCUUGUGUUGGGGACCUGCGGCUGCCCACAGGCCCUGAAAAACAGUGGCGGGCUCGCUGUCACACCGAGCGUAGUAGCAUACAUUCUCGCUCAGGGCGUGCUGCGGGUUCCGGCCGUUAAACGACCUUCAUAACCCAAGGUUGACCUCGGAUCAGGUAGGAAGACCCGCUGAACUUAAGC
This 306-nucleotide unclassified non-coding RNA is filed under the name plant metagenome. RNAcentral's name for it is "partial contains 5.8S ribosomal RNA, internal transcribed spacer 2, and large subunit ribosomal RNA". The stretch from base 1 to 105 matches the Rfam family "5.8S ribosomal RNA", at positions 50 to 154 of the family's 154-position model. The record is from RNAcentral.